This is a non-coding RNA of Cinara cedri, 476 nucleotides long. The record is from the annotation of a GenBank genome assembly. NCBI's taxonomy places the organism in Eukaryota, Metazoa, Arthropoda, Insecta, Hemiptera, Aphididae.
GUCGGCAUUUUUAAUCAAAAAUAUUCUAGGUGAAUCGUAAAAGAAUAUGUAUUUGCAAACGAAUCCAGGUCCUAAUUAUUAUGGUUACAUUGUUACUGUCUAAUAAAUUAUUACGUUAUAAUUUUCGUUCGCAUUACAACCUAGUCGGGGUCAUAAUGCUAUUAUAUUUGUUUACAUGCUCUUCGAAUUUUGAGACAUGUCAUUCUAUGAUACUUUAGUUGAGACUUAUCGUUUUAUAAUACUUAAAAAAUAAAAUCUCAUCUGGGUGUAUAUGAGGCUUUCAGAACAAUAACGAACGCAUCCCAUUAUUUUCUUUAUCAUUCCAUAAUUAUUUUUUUUAUCAUCUUGGUCUCAAAAAUGUUUAUAAAUUUAUAAUACAAUUUUAAUGUUGUCACUUAGUGAAUAUAAAGUAACGGUGUGUUGGCUAAACCCGUUAAUGAACUUCAUUCGAUGGUGUAUGUUUGUUAUUAAUGCCG